Molecule: ribosomal RNA, 500 nt
Filed under: Rhodopseudomonas palustris
Lineage: Bacteria; Pseudomonadati; Pseudomonadota; Alphaproteobacteria; Hyphomicrobiales; Nitrobacteraceae
Description: bacterial SSU rRNA
Rfam family: Bacterial small subunit ribosomal RNA
Source: RNAcentral
AGAGUUUGAUCAUGGCUCAGAGCGAACGCUGGCGGCAGGCUUAACACAUGCAAGUCGAACGGGCAUAGCAAUAUGUCAGUGGCAGACGGGUGAGUAACGCGUGGGAACGUACCUUUUGGUUCGGAACAACUGAGGGAAACUUCAGCUAAUACCGGAUAAGCCCUUACGGGGAAAGAUUUAUCGCCGAAAGAUCGGCCCGCGUCUGAUUAGCUAGUUGGUGUGGUAAAGGCGCACCAAGGCGACGAUCAGUAGCUGGUUUGAGAGGAUGAUCAGCCACAUUGGGACUGAGACACGGCCCAAACUCCUACGGGAGGCAGCAGUGGGGAAUAUUGGACAAUGGGCGAAAGCCUGAUCCAGCCAUGCCGCGUGAGUGAUGAAGGCCCUAGGGUUGUAAAGCUCUUUUGUGCGGGAAGAUAAUGACGGUACCGCAAGAAUAAGCCCCGGCUAACUUCGUGCCAGCAGCCGCGGUAAUACGAAGGGGGCUAGCGUUGCUCGGAAUC